Molecule: long non-coding RNA, 2252 nt
Filed under: Homo sapiens (human)
Lineage: Eukaryota; Metazoa; Chordata; Mammalia; Primates; Hominidae
Description: LHRI_LNC1028.3
Source: RNAcentral
ACACACCCAGGAGCUCCAGCCUGUUAUGGGAUGGGCAUCCUACCAGGAACCAAGGAUGCUAAGGUGUAAUGAAGAAUCUCCAGGUGGAGAAAUGAUCCUGAAUUAUCCAGUGGGCCCUACAUGUCACCACAUUGCGAUCCUUCUAAGUAGGAAGCAGAAGAUCUGACACAUGCAGGAGAGGGGAAGGCAAUGUGACCAUGGAGGCAGAGAGGGGAGUGAUGUGGCCACAAACCAAGGAUUGUUGGCAGCUGCCAGUGGCCGAAGGGGCAAUGAAUGGAUUCUCCUUUGGAGCCUCUGGAGGGAGAAUGGCCCUGCUAACACCUUGAUUUUGGCCCAGUGAUACUGAUUUUGGACUUCUGCCCUCUAGAACUGUGAGGGAAUACUUUUCUGUUGCUUUAAGCCAUUGAAUUUAUGAUGAUUUGUUACAGCACCCACAGGAAACAAAUGCAUGGAUCUAACUUGAACCUAGUGAGUUAGAUUACUUCAGGGAAACACAAUAAAUAGUUAACAGGGCUUGUCAGGGGGGUGGGAGUGAGAUGAAAGUGUGAAGGCAACUUCUAUGGUUUACUUUUAUAUUUCCCUAUUUUUCAAAUCUUUUGCAAGAAAAUGAAUUCAUAUACUAUUUUAAAAAACAUAUAAAAUAUGAGCAAAAAGAUUUAUUGUAUCUCUUUAAAAUAAUUUAGAACAAGUAAUGGCUGCAGAACCUUAAAGGGUUUUUCUAGCAUGUUUCCAAGAUACAGUCUUGAUUAUUUGAGAUUGACAUGAAGAUGGCCCAGACUGUGCCACAACACAGCACUUGACACCAAAUGUUAGACUGUAAUGGGCCGUGUGAGUAUUACUCAGUGUGGCCAUUUCAUUAUCAAAUAUCUAUUUAUUUCAGAUUUCAAACACGAAUACAAGCUUCUCCUUUCUUUCCUUCCUUUCUCUUUUUCUCCUUUCUACAGCAAGUUCAGGAAUGUGCUAGGUAUGACCUGGGAUAGAAAGAGCAUAUACUCAGCUUUUGCCUUCAAGAAAAUUGGAUAUUGGCUUGGGAGAUAAGAUAAAUGAAAAGGAAGCAGAUGAUCUGUUAUAGAAGAGAUAACACUGUAAGCCCAAAUGUAUGUGAUUAAGUUCUAAAAGUGUAAACCAAUAGGGAGUGCUGUGAGGUGUCACCACGGGCGCAGAUUGCAGCAGAUCUGACCAUACAAGUGUAAAUAAAACCCUAUUGAAUGCCCCCUCUCCCUCCCCAAUUGUUCUGAGUGGUUGCUUCAAGAUUUCUUCUCAUCGUUCUCAAAUUGUUACUGUGAGAUUAACUGGCAAACAUUUCUCCUUAACAUAAGAAGUGUGAAUGGAAUCCUACCAAGUGAUUUUGCCAAUAGUUCCUAUUCCUGCUGCAAACAGUGGUGUGCUCAGGCUUAAGCUGUAACAUGUCCACACUCACCUGUCACUUGGGAAUGCCUCUGUUGGAAUGCAACAUGCCCACUUAUCACACAGCCGGCAUGAGAGGCAGAGUGGAGUUUAACCAAGCAUUCUGCCCCCAAAGUCUGCAGAUGUAGCCAGUGCCUUCAGAAAAGGGAAGGGAAACUAACCCUGUUGAGUAUCUACUAUGUGCUAGGCAUUCUGUUAAGCACUUUUACACACAUCAUUUAAUCCUCGUGACAGUAUUUAGAAAUAGCUAUCAUUUCCCAGUUCUGUAGAUGAGGAAGAAAAGGUAGGCUCAGAGAGGGUAGGUAAGUUGUCUAAGGUCACAUAGCUGGUACAUAGUAGUAGAGCUAGGGUGCAAACCCAAGAUUUUCUGAGUCCAAAGCACAUGCCUAUUCCAUCAUUUCGGUAAUAAGAAUAAAUGUCUUUCAAAUGUAGUGGUGAGAGAUGAAUAAAAAGCCGUCCUUGGUGAUCCUGGGGAGUCUACACCCUCUGCCUGCCUGGCUCCACAUCAAGCUUGUGUUUGCCAGCACUUACACCCCUGCAUUUCCCUCCAAUCCCUGUCAUCUCCCUUGUGGAGUCCUCUCCUCCUCUCCUACCCGUUGGUCCCCUUUUUCACCCAUCCUUCAGCCAUUUAAUGAUCUCAUCUUUAAUUCCUGUUUAUAACUCCAUGAGCUCCUCGAUCACUGUCUCCUGAGAUGUCCUUUUUGUCACUGGAACUUGUAUUAAAGUGGUUUUGUAAUGGGUAUUUCUGUUUCUUUUGUCCUACUCUGAAUUUCCUGAGGGCAGGGACUACAUCUCUUUUAUUCUUCUAUGUUUCCCUCAGGUUCUGUGGUUAUGCAUUGGCAAUU